Molecule: unclassified non-coding RNA, 301 nt
Filed under: Hevea brasiliensis (rubber tree)
Lineage: Eukaryota; Viridiplantae; Streptophyta; Magnoliopsida; Malpighiales; Euphorbiaceae
Source: RNAcentral
AUGUCAUUGAUUGAUUGUCCAAUAGAAUAUAAAGCUCUUUGGUAAAUUUAAAAUAAAACUUAUGUGACUGUAAAUAAAUUUUUUAAAUCGUACCUAAGUAAUUAUAGAAAUUUUUAGAGCAUGAUAAAAAACUUUUGGCUGGAUUGUUGCAAAUCAGAAGCUAUCCUUUCAGUUGGUUCAUCUCCUAUUUUGAGUUUAGAAUAUAAAUAAUAUAUUUUGUGCCGUUCCCCGUAGACAAUGCUACUGUUGUGAUCCAUAGAAAUUCAUUUUAAAUUUGGACCAUUGAUGUGAAGCCAGGGUG